RNAcentral lists this ribosomal RNA (237 nucleotides) under uncultured bacterium. RNAcentral's name for it is "partial 16S ribosomal RNA". It matches the Rfam family "Bacterial small subunit ribosomal RNA", at positions 15 to 233 of the family's 1533-position model. The record is from RNAcentral.
GAUCCUGGCUCAGGAUGAACGCUGGCGGCGUGCCUAACACAUGCAAGUCGAACGAAGCAUCUUAUAGGAAGUUUUCGGAUGGAAUAUGGGAUGACUGAGUGGCGGACGGGUGAGUAACGCGUGGAUAACCUGCCUCACACUGGGGGAUAACAGUUAGAAAUGGCUGCUAAUACCGCAUAAGCGCACAGUACCGCAUGGUACGGUGUGAAAAACCCCAGGUGGUGUGAGAUGGAUCCG